GCAGGACGGUGGUCAUGGAAG
RNAcentral lists this non-coding RNA (21 nucleotides) under Arabidopsis thaliana (thale cress). The record is from RNAcentral. Lineage: Eukaryota; Viridiplantae; Streptophyta; Magnoliopsida; Brassicales; Brassicaceae.